GCCAUCCCAGCUCAAGUUUAAUGUCAGCAUGAGUACAGACCUCGUAGCUAACUCAGGCAGCCAACUCAGGCCCCUGUGACCAAGGGCUGAACUUUCCCCUACUCUACUUCAGUUCCAGGGAACCCCACCCUGCUUUCGUUCCAAGAAAAACCGCUAUACCUAACCCUGUAAACAGCCCGGCUCCAGCUAAUCAGCUCAUUGCAGGAAAGUCUGGAAUCUUCCCUCUCUGCCCACCCCCCCCCGCCCCACCUCAAGCCUCUGGUAACCGCACAUAAAUACCCCUGCCUUAACUAGACUCGGGGUCCAAGUCCCUACUCCGCUGUGUCGGGUAUACUGAGGCCCAAGCUGAAGCUUGUCGAAUAAACCCCCGUGUGAUGGCAUCGGUGUUGGCUCCUUGGUGGUCUCUCGGAUGCAAAAAGUUGGGCAUAACACCAGUUUGGAAUAUAUUACUCUUCAGUGAAUUUUGACAGAGGCAUAUCCUCCUGCGAUUCCCAACUCCUGGCAAGAUGUAGAAAAGCCCAGCGCCCUGGAAAGUUUCCUGCUGCCUCCUCCGAAUCUGCCCCCUCCUCUGCCUGAGAGGUGACCUCUGUCCCAAGUUUUCCUCAGAAAUGGAGUUGUCUGGUCUUGGCCGUUCUGGAACUUUCGUCUUACAGAACGUGCUCCAGCGCCUGGCUGCUUUGGCUCAGUGUAACAUCCUUGACAUUCAUGGGUGUUUGUGUGUAUAUUAGAGUUUUUUUUUCCUUUCUGUGACUGAGUUGAAUUCCACUGUGUAAAUAAAUCACAGGGUGCCUAUCCAUUUCCCUGUUCUAGGCUGUUUCCAGAUCAAGUUUUUAAAGGUGCUGCCCCCAUCCUGGUCUUUGGGUGGCCCUGCAUUCUCAUUUCCUUGGACAAAUAACCAGGAGUUGGAAUUACUCAGGCAUUGGAUGGGGGUCAUAUUAUUUGCAUUACUGUAACUAUGAGGUUUCGUCCUGAUGGGGUAAAAUCCCCUCUCCAGUUUCUUCCUCUCCCUCCACCUCUAGCACAUUUCAAAUCCACUCAAACUUUUAAAUAACUUAAAAAAAUUUUUUUGAGAUGUAUCACUUUGAUGUAUCACUUUCCUAAAGAUAAUAGUAAUGGGGAAAAAUCUAGCUAAAGAAAUUAAUCACUCUCUUCAAAUUCUCAGAGUUCUUUGUACUGCAGCCCGGGCUUUGUCCCUCAAGGGCCAGUAGACUCACUGUGCCUCCAUUGGCUCACACGGCCCCCACCUCUCUGAGGCCCCACUCCAGCAUGGCCAGUGUUGUUCUGUUCCCACCACAAGUUCUCCCAGUUCCCUGCAUACUCUAUGCUCCACCACGCCUCAGAGCUCAGUGUGUGCCUUUAGCCUGAGGCUCUUUGUGAUUUUUCUUUCUUUCCUUUCUCUCUAAUGCUUCCUCUCUCUCUCUCUCUCUUUCCCUUCCAACAUGCAUUUCUUAAGCUCCUACUAGGUACCUUUCCAGGCCCUUGGGUCACUCACAGCCUGGAGCCAUGCCGGCCAACAGAACUUUCCAGAAUGAUGGAAACACUCAAUUCUGCACGCCUCCCCCCCUGGAUAUUGUGUGGGUCACUGAGCCCUUGAAACAAGGCCAGAGCAAAAGGGGGGCCCAUUCAACAGUAUUUGCUAUUUACUGAUUUCACCGUCACCCUGACACUUGAUUCCAAUGAUCAGAAAGCUUUUCAGGCAGGUUGGUUUUGACUCGGGCCCGGGGAAGGACUUUCUUGAGCUGUAACGCCAUGAGCCCAGAGGCAGAUGUCCUCCUGAUGGAAGGCUGCCCUUUCAUUGGAGCAAAAGGCCACUUGGUCCCAAAGGCUUUGUGUACCGAGCAUGUAAAAGAUUUCAUUGAUAAUUUUUUUCUCUUGGUUCUGUGUUGAAAUGGUAGCAUUUCAGAUAUAUUGGUUAAAUAAAAUAUAGAAUUAAAAUGA
This is a long non-coding RNA of Mustela lutreola (European mink), 1938 nucleotides long. RefSeq lists it as uncharacterized. The record is from RefSeq and is a predicted model, not a curated record. The transcript has 2 exons. Lineage: Eukaryota; Metazoa; Chordata; Mammalia; Carnivora; Mustelidae.